RNAcentral lists this ribosomal RNA (420 nucleotides) under bacterium. RNAcentral's name for it is "partial 16S ribosomal RNA". It matches the Rfam family "Bacterial small subunit ribosomal RNA", at positions 355 to 776 of the family's 1533-position model. The record is from RNAcentral.
UGGGGGAUAUUGCACAAUGGGCGAAAGCCUGAUGCAGCGACGCCGCGUGGGGGAUGAAGGUUUUCGGGUUGUAAACCUCUUUCGCUAUCGAACAAGGCCCGCUUAGGGUGGGUUGAGGGUAGGUGGAGAAGAAGCGCCGGCUAACUACGUGCCAGCAGCCGCGGUAAUACGUAGGGCGCGAGCGUUGUCCGGAAUUAUUGGGCGUAAAGGGCUUGUAGGCGGCUUGUUGCGCCUGCUGUGAAAACGCGGGGCUUAACUUCGCGCGUGCAGUGGGUACGGGCAGGCUUGAGUGUGGUAGGGGUGACUGGAAUUCCAGGUGUAGCGGUGGAAUGCGCAGAUAUCUGGAGGAACACCGAUGGCGAAGGCAGGUCACUGGGCCAUUACUGACGCUGAGGAGCGAAAGCAUGGGUAGCGAACAGG